AGCAGCCGCGGUAAUUCCAGCUCCAAUAGCGUAUAUUAAAGUUGUUGCAGUUAAAAAGCUCGUAGUUGAAUUUCGGGAUCAGUACGCUGGUCGUGCCUCCGGUAUGUACUGGUGUCACUGGUUCCUCCCUUCUGAAGAACCAUCAUGCUAUUAAUUUAGUGUGGUGGGAAAUCAGGACUGUUACUUUGAAAAAAUUAGAGUGUUUAAAGCAGGCUCACGCUUGAAUACAUUAGCAUGGAAUAAUGAAAUAGGACGUUGAUCCUAUUUUGUUGGUUUCUAGGAUUGACGUAAUGAUUAAUAGGGAUAGUUGGGGGCAUUAGUAUUCAAUUGUCAGAGGUGAAAUUCUUGGAUUUAUUGAAGACUAACUACUGCGAAAGCAUUUGCCAAGGAUGUUUUCAUUAAUCAAGAACGAAAGUUAGGGGAUCGAAGACGAUCAGAUACCGUCGUAGUCUUAACCAUAAACUAUGCCGACUAGGGAUCGGAUGAUGUUAAUUUUUUAAUGACUCAUUCGGCGCCUUACG
Molecule: ribosomal RNA, 521 nt
Filed under: uncultured Glomus
Lineage: Eukaryota; Fungi; Glomeromycota; Glomeromycetes; Glomerales; Glomeraceae
Description: SSU rRNA
Rfam family: Eukaryotic small subunit ribosomal RNA
Source: RNAcentral